GCAUAUCAAUAAGCGGAGGAAAAGAAACCAACAGGGAUUGCCUCAGUAACGGCGAGUGAAGCGGCAACAGCUCAAAUUUGAAAUCUGGCCCCCCUCUGGGGGGUCCGAGUUGUAAUUUGCAGAGGGCGCUUUGGCAUCGGCGGCGGUCUAAGUUCCUUGGAACAGGACAUCGCAGAGGGUGAGAAUCCCGUACGUGGGCGCCUGCCUUUGCCGUGUAAAGCCCCUUCGACGAGUCGAGUUGUUUGGGAAUGCAGCUCUAAAUGGGAGGUAAAUUUCUUCUAAAGCUAAAUACCGGCCAGAGACCGAUAGCGCACAAGUAGAGUGAUCGAAAGAUGAAAAGUACUUUGGAAAGAGAGUCAAAUAGCACGUGAAAUUGUUGAAAGGGAAGCGCUUGCAGCCAGACGUGCGCGCGGUUGCUCACCCCGGCUCUCGCCUGGGGCACUCUUCCGCGCGCAGGCCAGCAUCAGUUCGGGCGGUCGGAUAAAGGCCUCUGUCAAGUACCUUCCCCCGGGAAGGCCUUAUAGGGGAGGCGCAAUGCGACCAGCCCGGACUGAGGUCCGCGCAUCUGCUAGGAUGCUGGCGUAAUGGCUGUAAGCGGCCCGUCUUGAAACACGGACCAAGGAGUCUAACAUCUAUGCGAGUGUUUGGGUGUCAAGCCCGGGCGCGCAAUGAAAGUGAACGGAGGUGGGAUCCCCUUCCGGGGUGCACCAUCGACCGAUCCUGAUGUCUUCGGAUGGAUUUGAGUAAGAGCAUAGCUGUUGGGACCCGAAAGAUGGUGAACUAUGCUUGAAUAGGGUGAAGCCAGAGGAAACUCUGGUGGAGGCUCGCAGCGGUUCUGACGUGCAAAUCGAUCGUCAAAUUUGGGCAUAGGGGCGAAAGACUAAUCGAACCAUCUAGUAGCUGGUUCCUGCCGAU
RNAcentral lists this ribosomal RNA (915 nucleotides) under Montagnula chromolaenicola. Its description in RNAcentral is "partial large subunit ribosomal RNA". It matches the Rfam family "Eukaryotic large subunit ribosomal RNA", at positions 38 to 965 of the family's 3401-position model. RNAcentral also lists the same sequence under 1 other name. Lineage: Eukaryota; Fungi; Ascomycota; Dothideomycetes; Pleosporales; Didymosphaeriaceae. The record is from RNAcentral.